GAUGAACGCUGGCGGCGUGCCUAAUACAUGCAAGUCGAGCGAACGGACGAGAAGCUUGCUUCUCUGAUGUUAGCAGCGGACGGGUGAGUAACACGUGGAUAACCUACCUAUAAGACUGGGAUAACUUCGGGAAACCGGAGCUAAUACCGGAUAAUAUUUUGAACCGCAUGGUUCAGAAGUGAAAGACGGUCUUGCUGUCACUUAUAGAUGGAUCCGCGCUGCAUUAGCUAGUUGGUAAGGUAACGGCUUACCAAGGCAACGAUGCAUAGCCGACCUGAGAGGGUGAUCGGCCACACUGGAACUGAGACACGGUCCAGACUCCUACGGGAGGCAGCAGUAGGGAAUCUUCCGCAAUGGGCGAAAGCCUGACGGAGCAACGCCGCGUGAGUGAUGAAGGUCUUCGGAUCGUAAAACUCUGUUAUUAGGGAAGAACAUAUGUGUAAGUAACUGUGCACAUCUUGACGGUACCUAAUCAGAAAGCCACGGCUAACUACGUG
RNAcentral lists this ribosomal RNA (497 nucleotides) under uncultured bacterium. Its description in RNAcentral is "partial 16S ribosomal RNA". It matches the Rfam family "Bacterial small subunit ribosomal RNA", at positions 28 to 507 of the family's 1533-position model. The record is from RNAcentral.